Molecule: ribosomal RNA, 259 nt
Filed under: uncultured bacterium
Lineage: Bacteria
Description: partial 16S ribosomal RNA
Rfam family: Bacterial small subunit ribosomal RNA
Source: RNAcentral
CGGCGGACGGGUGAGUAACGCGUGGGUAACCUGCCCUGUACACACGGAUAACAUACCGAAAGGUAUGCUAAUACGGGAUAACAUAAGAAAUUCGCAUGUUUUUCUUAUCAAAGCUCCGGCGGUACAGGAUGGACCCGCGUCUGAUUAGCUAGUUGGUGAGGUAACGGCUCACCAAGGCGACGAUCAGUAGCCGACCUGAGAGGGUGAUCGGCCACAUUGGAACUGAGACACGGUCCAAACUCCUACGGGAGGCAGCAUG